RNAcentral lists this ribosomal RNA (560 nucleotides) under uncultured bacterium. RNAcentral's name for it is "bacterial SSU rRNA". It matches the Rfam family "Bacterial small subunit ribosomal RNA", at positions 338 to 916 of the family's 1533-position model. The record is from RNAcentral.
CCUACGGGAGGCAGCAGUAAGGAAUAUUGGACAAUGGGGGCAACCCUGAUCCAGCCAUGCCGCGUGAGCGAUGAAGGCCUUCGGGUUGUAAAGUUCUUUCGUCCAGGAAGAUAUCGUCCGUGCUCAUACACUAAGCCGCUGAUAACUCCGUGCCAAUAACCGCCGGAUUACUUAGGGCGCUAGCGCUGUUCAAAAUUACUGGGGCUAGCGCUCCUCUAAGUUGCUGGGUUAAUCGCGGGCGAAAGCGCGGCGCUCAACCUCGGAACUGCCUUUGAUACUGCUGAUCUGAAUGGCGAUAGAUGCUGGUGGAAUUCCGAGUGUAAAAGUGAAAUGCAUAUAUCUGCGUAGGAACACCAUUGGCAAAGGUCGCUCACUGCAUCUGUACUGACGCUGACGUGCUGAAGCGUGACUAACACACAGGAUUAAAUACCCUGGUAGUCCACGCCAUUAACUAUCAUGGCUAUCCACCCCGUAGACUGCCCUAUCUAGACGCAGGUGACACUUCACGCUCUCCGCCUGGCGAGUACCGCCGCAAGGUCCCCACUCGAAUAAAUUGGCCG